AAGUCGUAACAAGGUUUCCGUAGGUGAACCUGCGGAAGGAUCAUUACCGAAUUGUCAACACGAGUUGUUGCUGGUCCUCAAAUGGGGGCAUGUGCACACUCUGUUUGCACAUCCACUCACACCUGUGCACCCUCCAUAGUUCUGCAGCCUGGGGGCUCUGUCCCCCCUGCUGUGGCUCUAUGUAUUUACACACACACACUGUGAUAAAGUCUUAUGGAAUGUAUGCCGCGUUUAACGCAAUACAAUACAACUUUCAGCAACGGAUCUCUUGGCUCUCGCAUCGAUGAAGAACGCAGCGAAAUGCGAUAAGUAAUGUGAAUUGCAGAAUUCAGUGAAUCAUCGAAUCUUUGAACGCACCUUGCGCCCUUUGGCUAUUCCGAAGGGCAUGCCUGUUUGAGUAUCAUGAACACCUCAACUCUCAUGGCUUGCCAUGACGAGCUUAGACUUUGGGGGUCUUGCCGGCCUGCGGUCGGCUCCUCUCAAAUGAAUCAGCUUACCAGUGUUUGGUGGCAUCACAGGUGUGAUAACUAUCUACGCUUGUGGUUUUCCACCAGGUAACCUUCAGUGAUGGAGGUUUGCUGGGGCUCAUAAAUGUCUCUCCUCAGUGAGGACAGCUCUUUNGAACAUUNGAUCUCAAAUCAGGUAGGACUACCCGCUGAACUUAAGCAUAUCAUAAGCGGAGGAAAAGAAACUAACAAGGAUUCCCCUAGUAACUGCGAGUGAAGCGGGAAGAGCUCAAAUUUAAAAUCUGGCGUGCCUCUGGUCGUCCGAGUUGUAGUCUGGAGAAGCGUUUUCCGUGUUGGACCGUGUAUAAGUCUCUUGGAACAGGGCGUCAUAGAGGGUGAGAAUCCCGUCUUUGACACGGACUACCAAUGCUUUGUGAUGCGCUCUCAAAGAGUCGAGUUGUUUGGGAAUGCAGCUCAAAAUGGGUGGUAAAUUCCAUCUAAAGCUAAAUAUAGGCGAGAGACCGAUAGCGAACAAGUACCGUGAGGGAAAGAUGAAAAGCACUUUGGAAAGAGAGUUAAACAGUACGUGAAAUUGCUGAAAGGGAAACGCUUGAAGUCAGUCACGUCUGCCAGGACUCAGCCUCGCUUCUGCUUGGUGCACUUUCUGGUUUGAUGGGCCAACAUCAAUUUUGACCGUCGGAGAAAGGCUUUGGGAAUGUGGCACCUUUGGGUGUGUUAUAGCCCUUUGUCGUAUACGACGGUUGGGAUUGAGGACUGCAGCACGCCUUUAUGGCCGGGGUUCGCCCACGUACGUGCUUAGGAUGUUGGCAUAAUGGCUUUAAGCGACCCGUCUUGAAACACGGACC
This 1312-nucleotide ribosomal RNA is filed under the name uncultured fungus. RNAcentral's name for it is "eukaryotic LSU rRNA". The stretch from base 629 to 1312 matches the Rfam family "Eukaryotic large subunit ribosomal RNA", at positions 1 to 667 of the family's 3401-position model. The record is from RNAcentral. Lineage: Eukaryota; Fungi.